AUUGAACGCUGGCGGCAGGCCUAACACAUGCAAGUCGAGCGGAUGAAGGGAGCUUGCUCCUGGAUUCAGCGGCGGACGGGUGAGUAAUGCCUAGGAAUCUGCCUGGUAGUGGGGGAUAACGUCCGGAAACGGGCGCUAAUACCGCAUACGUCCUGAGGGAGAAAGUGGGGGAUCUUCGGACCUCACGCUAUCAGAUGAGCCUAGGUCGGAUUAGCUAGUUGGUGGGGUAAAGGCCUACCAAGGCGACGAUCCGUAACUGGUCUGAGAGGAUGAUCAGUCACACGGGAACUGAGACACGGUCCAGACUCCUACGGGAGGGAGCAGUGGGGAAUAUUGGACAAUGGGCGAAAGCCUGAUCCAGCCAUGCCGCGUGUGUGAAGAAGGUCUUCGGAUUGUAAAGCACGUUAAGUUGGGAGGAAGGGCAGUAAGUUAAUACCUUGCUGUUUUGACGGUACCAACAGAAUAAGCACCGGCUAACUUCGUG
RNAcentral lists this ribosomal RNA (484 nucleotides) under uncultured bacterium. Its description in RNAcentral is "partial 16S ribosomal RNA". It matches the Rfam family "Bacterial small subunit ribosomal RNA", at positions 30 to 507 of the family's 1533-position model. The record is from RNAcentral.